This 253-nucleotide ribosomal RNA is filed under the name uncultured bacterium. Its description in RNAcentral is "partial 16S ribosomal RNA". It matches the Rfam family "Bacterial small subunit ribosomal RNA", at positions 524 to 776 of the family's 1533-position model. The record is from RNAcentral.
UACGAAGGGGGCUAGCGUUGUUCGGAAUUACUGGGCGUAAAGCGCACGUAGGCGGAUAGUUAAGUCGGGGGUGAAAUCCCGGGGCUCAACCCCGGAACUGCCUUCGAUACUGGCUGUCUAGAGAUCGAGAGAGGUGAGUGGAAUUCCGAGUGUAGAGGUGAAAUUCGUAGAUAUUCGGAGGAACACCAGUGGCGAAGGCGGCUCACUGGCUCGAUACUGACGCUGAGGUGCGAAAGCGUGGGGAGCAAACAGG